CCUCGUCACAGCCACAUUACAGGACUUCACCGGCUCCACCAGCUCCAACAGCCCUGGGAGGUCUCUUCCCAACACCACUGGAUAUGGACCACAGACAUGGAGAAGGCUAAGGAUCCAGACCUUCACAAGCAAAACAACCAGGAAGAGCAACAAGACCGAAGCAAAACCAUUACAGACCAGCAGGUCCUGACCCAAGCCCAGAAUGGAGCUCAGGACUCGGGGCAGCACCAGGAUGCCCUUCAUGCCCUGGAGGAGUGUGUGAGUCUGCUAGAAGAGUUCCAGAGAGCCGUGAGGAAGAAGGAUGCACUCAUCACUGUACUCCUGAAGACACAGAAACAGGGAGCAGGAGACGGGCUUAAGGUCCAUCCAGCCUACCCAUCCAAAGUUCAGUGUGACACUACUGAGUCUUCAGAGGACCAGACUAGCAGAAGCCCUAGUCAUUCAUCUCCUGACCCCUGUCAAUCAUCCUCUGACAUAUGUCAAUCAUCCCCUGACAUAUGUCAAUCAUCUCCUGACCCCUGUCAAUCAUCCUCUGACAUGUGUCAAUCAUCCACACAAACUGUGGAGGUCCAGACUGAAGCAGUAGACCAGAGCAAUGGACCUGCAGAUACCCACAAUAACCAGACAGAGGCAUGUGCCAGGACCCCAGUCAGGCAGAUGAACGGAAGUGGAGGAGAGGAAGAGGAAGAUAGAGAGGAAGAGGAAGGUAAAGAGGAAGAGGAAGUGACAAGCUCCUCCAGGCUCCUCCCACCCAGCCUGAGAAAGAGGCUGCAGGAGAUCCAAGUGCUUGAUAACGUCAUCGCCAGGAAAGACAAGAUCAUCAGAGAGCUGAGCAGUCAUAAUGCGGUGCUGAUGGGGAGUGUCCAGAGACUGACGGAGGAGAAGUACAGACAGAAGGAGAUGCUCUCAGAGGCCCUGCUCCUGAUGAGAGUCCAACACACACACACACACUAACACACACACACUAACACACACACACACACACACACAUACACACACACAGACC
This is a long non-coding RNA of Clupea harengus (Atlantic herring), 1006 nucleotides long. Lineage: Eukaryota; Metazoa; Chordata; Actinopteri; Clupeiformes; Clupeidae. The record is from Ensembl.